Molecule: long non-coding RNA, 392 nt
Filed under: Danio rerio (zebrafish)
Lineage: Eukaryota; Metazoa; Chordata; Actinopteri; Cypriniformes; Danionidae
Description: lncRNA si:ch211-262n1.3 (ENSDARG00000093020.3)
Source: RNAcentral
AAGGGAAGCCAUGUCAUCUUGUGCUGGAGGAAAAGGGCGUUCAAAAUCCUAAAAAGAAGCUGAAACGUGAUGAAACGUUACACAGAAGUCUCAAGAGGUCAGCGUGAAGUGAAGCCAUUUUAUCUUGUGCUGGAGGAAAAGGGCGUUUAAAAUGCAGAACAGAAGCUGAAACUUGAUUAAACGUUACACAGAAGUCUCAAGGGUUGCUGGUGUAUAAACCCUGUCUCCUGCUCUCAGCACAGGAUGGCCCCAUUACUGAUUUGCUUUUCUGCAUCGCCACAAAAAACCCCUGACACAUUAUAGCACAGAUCACUGAGCCACUUAAAGAUGCAGACAACCAUUUGGAUUAAAAUGCAAGAGUUGGUGUGGUCUAAAAAUAAAUAGCAUGAGAA